CUCGUAGGUGGCCAACUAAGUCAGACGUGAAAUCCCUCGGCUUAACCGGGGAACUGCGUCUGAUACUGGAUGGCUUGAGUUUGGGAGAGGGACGCGGAAUUCCAGGUGUAGCGGUGAAAUGCGUAGAUAUCUGGAGGAACACCGGUGGCGAAGGCGGCGUCCUGGACCAACACUGACACUGAUGAGCGAAAGCCAGGGGAGCAAAACGG
RNAcentral lists this ribosomal RNA (209 nucleotides) under uncultured bacterium. RNAcentral describes it as "partial 16S ribosomal RNA". It matches the Rfam family "Bacterial small subunit ribosomal RNA", at positions 568 to 776 of the family's 1533-position model. The record is from RNAcentral.